CAGUAGCCGCGGUAACACGAAGGGGGCUAGCGUUGUUCGGAUUUACUGGGCGUAAAGCGCACGUAGGCGGACUUUUAAGUCAGGGGUGAAAUCCCGGGGCUCAACCCCGGAACUGCCUUUGAUACUGGAAGUCUUGAGUAUGGUAGAGGUGAGUGGAAUUCCGAGUGUAGAGGUGAAAUUCGUAGAUAUUCGGAGGAACACCAGUGGCGAAGGCGGCUCACUGGACCAUUACUGACGCUGAGGUGCGAAAGCGUGGGGAGCAAACAGGAUUAGAGACCCCUGUAGUCCCUGUCUCUUAUAC
This 301-nucleotide ribosomal RNA is filed under the name uncultured bacterium. RNAcentral's name for it is "partial 16S ribosomal RNA". It matches the Rfam family "Bacterial small subunit ribosomal RNA", at positions 509 to 807 of the family's 1533-position model. The record is from RNAcentral.